This 397-nucleotide ribosomal RNA is filed under the name uncultured bacterium. RNAcentral describes it as "partial 16S ribosomal RNA". It matches the Rfam family "Bacterial small subunit ribosomal RNA", at positions 523 to 918 of the family's 1533-position model. The record is from RNAcentral.
AUACGUAGGUGACAAGCGUUAUCCGGAUUUACUGGGUGUAAAGGGCGUGUAGGCGGUUUAGCAAGUCAGAAGUGAAAUUCCCGGGCUUAACUUGGGCGCUGCUUCUGAAACUGCUUUACUUGAGUGCUGGAGAGGAUAGUGGAAUUCCUAGUGUAGCGGUAAAAUGCGCAGAUAUUAGGAGGAACACCGGUGGCGAAGGCGGCUAUCUGGACAGUAACUGACGCUGAGGCGCGAAAGCACGGGGAGCAAACAGGAUUAGAUACCCUGGUAGUCCGUGCCGUAAACGAUGAAUACUAGGUGUAGGGGGUAUCGACUCCCUCUGUGCCGCAGUUAACACAUUAAGUAUUCCACCUGGGGAGUACGUCCGCAAGGAUGAAACUCAAAUGAAUUGACGGGG